GACUCGUUUGGAUGCUGAAGCUUCAUAUUUGUCACAAAUUGUGGAGCAAAGACUGUAGGCUGAUCCGGGCUGAAGAACUUUAUUUGGUGAUGAUCCAGGCAAAAACAAAAGCUGAGCAGAAUGAACUCGACAAGGCAAGGAAGAUUACAAACUGAACACAGGUGGGUGAAAUAAGACACAGGUGAAACACGUGAGGUAAUCAACGAAGGUGGGAAAACACAGGAAGUAAAAGGUGACAAAACACUUCAAAAUAAAACAGAGACUAAAGUAAUCAGACAACAAGGAGCAGGUGGUACAACUGGGAGCUCCAGGUGAUAGACUGGGGAAGACACCUGGAGCAAGGCAGCUGGUUGUCAAACACCAAACACCUGCAGGAGGAACUACUUUCUGCUGCAGGAGGAACUACUUUCUGCUGCAGAGGAAUACGGAGGAUAGCGGUGCUUCUUCUGAGAGGAGAAACAAGUACCGGCUGCAUACCCUCAUGAUCAGCUAGAGGAGGUGCUCCUGUUUCUCUAUUGGUCCAGAGGAUGUUACCCAUAACACCUUUCUCUCUGUGUUGGUUUGAAGCAGAAGCCUUAUUCCAGCUGUACACCUCUUGGUUCAUUUGUAAUAAGUCAGUGUGGAGCUAGAAGACUACAAUCAGAGAUGAAUCAAAGGGUCGCGGGGGAGCUGGGGCCGAUCUCAGCUGACUUUGGGUGAGAAACGGGAUACGUCCUGGACAGGUCACCAGCAAGCGGCAACCUCCAGGGCUGUAAAAUGAAGCCAAUGCGGAAGUGCCAAAAACUGCAGUUCUU
Thunnus maccoyii (southern bluefin tuna) is the source of this 794-nucleotide long non-coding RNA. RefSeq lists it as uncharacterized. Lineage: Eukaryota; Metazoa; Chordata; Actinopteri; Scombriformes; Scombridae. The record is from RefSeq and is a predicted model, not a curated record. The transcript is spliced from 4 exons.